AUUGAACGCUGGCGGCAUGCCUUACACAUGCAAGUCGAACGGCAGCACGGGUGCUUGCACCUGGUGGCGAGUGGCGAACGGGUGAGUAAUACAUCGGAACAUGUCCUGUAGUGGGGGAUAGCCCGGCGAAAGCCGGAUUAAUACCGCAUACGAUCUACGGAUGAAAGCGGGGGACCUUCGGGCCUCGCGCUAUCGGGUUGGCCGAUGGCUGAUUAGCUAGUUGGUGGGGUAAAGGCCUACCAAGGCGACGAUCAGUAGCUGGUCUGAGAGGACGACCAGCCACACUGGGACUGAGACACGGCCCAGACUCCUACGGGAGGCAGCAGUGGGGAAUUUUGGACAAUGGGCGAAAGCCUGAUCCAGCAAUGCCGCGUGUGUGAAGAAGGCCUUCGGGUUGUAAAGCACUUUUGUCCGGAAAGAAAUCCUUGGCCCUAAUACGGUCGGGGGAUGACGGAACCGGAAGAAUAAGCACCGGCUAACUACGUG
This 486-nucleotide ribosomal RNA is filed under the name uncultured bacterium. RNAcentral describes it as "partial 16S ribosomal RNA". It matches the Rfam family "Bacterial small subunit ribosomal RNA", at positions 30 to 507 of the family's 1533-position model. The record is from RNAcentral.